Molecule: ribosomal RNA, 448 nt
Filed under: uncultured bacterium
Lineage: Bacteria
Description: partial 16S ribosomal RNA
Rfam family: Bacterial small subunit ribosomal RNA
Source: RNAcentral
AACGAACGCUGGCGGCAUGCCUAACACAUGCAAGUCGAACGAAGCCUUCGGGCUUAGUGGCGCACGGGUGCGUAACGCGUGGGAAUCUGCCCUUGGGUUCGGAAUAACAGUUAGAAAUGACUGCUAAUACCGGAUGAUGUCUUCGGACCAAAGAUUUAUCGCCCAAGGAUGAGCCCGCGUAGGAUUAGGUAGUUGGUGGGGUAAUGGCCCACCAAGCCGACGAUCCUUAGCUGGUCUGAGAGGAUGAUCAGCCACACUGGGACUGAGACAUGGCCCAGACUCCUACGGGAGGCAGCAGUGGGGAAUAUUGGACAAUGGGCGAAAGCCUGAUCCAGCAAUGCCGCGUGAGUGAUGAAGGCCUUAGGGUUGGAAAGCUCUUUUACCAGGGAUGAUAUGACAGUACCUGGAGAAUAAGCUCCGGCUAACUCCGUGCCAGCAGCAGCCGCAG